RNAcentral lists this unclassified non-coding RNA (324 nucleotides) under fungal sp. RNAcentral describes it as "partial internal transcribed spacer region". The stretch from base 1 to 46 matches the Rfam family "Eukaryotic small subunit ribosomal RNA", at positions 1786 to 1831 of the family's 1831-position model. The record is from RNAcentral. Lineage: Eukaryota; Fungi.
AAGUCGUAACAAGGUUUCCGUAGGUGAACCUGCGGAAGGAUCAUUAACACAUUGUCCAUUUGAUGAUAGUGACUUUUUUAGAGGAGUCGUUUUGAGUUUUUUUAAUAGGGCUCACUGUUGCUCCUCUAAUAUAAGGUCCUAUCAUUCAAACCUAAUAGCGAAUGAGUUGAAGUCCUCAUUAUUAAUUAACUUUAAUAAUUAGUGGAAUAAGACUAAAUGUAAUCACGUUUUAAUGAAUUCGUAAGAAUUUAUUCGACUAAAUGUUUACAAAACAAUAAAUAUAUAACCAAGACAACUUGUAACAGUGGAUACCUUGGUUCCCAG